RNAcentral lists this ribosomal RNA (446 nucleotides) under uncultured bacterium. Its description in RNAcentral is "partial 16S ribosomal RNA". It matches the Rfam family "Bacterial small subunit ribosomal RNA", at positions 338 to 795 of the family's 1533-position model. The record is from RNAcentral.
CCUACGGGGGGCAGCAGUUGAGAAUCUUUCACAAUGGGGGAAACCCUGAUGGUGCGACGCCGCGUGGGGGAAUGAAGGUCUUCGGAUUGUAAACCCCUGUCAUGUGGGAGCAAAUUAAAAAGAUAGUACCACAAGAGGAAGAGACGGCUAACUCUGUGCCAGCAGCCGCGGUAAUACAGAGGUCUCAAGCGUUGUUCGGAAUCACUGGGCGUAAAGGGUGCGUAGGCGUGUUCGUAAGUCGUGUGUGAAAGGCGCGGGCUCAACCCGCGGACGGGACCUGAUACUGCGAGACUAGAGUAAUGGAGGGGGAACCGGAAUUCUCGGUGUAGCAGUGAAAUGCGUAGAUAUCGAGAGGAACACUCGUGGCGAAGGCGGGUUCCUGGACAUUAACUGACGCUGAGGCACGAAGGCCAGGGGAGCGAAAGGGAUUAGAUACCCUUGUAGUC